This 876-nucleotide ribosomal RNA is filed under the name uncultured organism. RNAcentral describes it as "bacterial SSU rRNA". It matches the Rfam family "Bacterial small subunit ribosomal RNA", at positions 24 to 944 of the family's 1533-position model. The record is from RNAcentral.
UCAGGAUGAACGCUGGCGGUCUGCUUAACACAUGCAAGUCGAACGCAACCUUCGGGUUGAGUGGCGGACGGGUGAGUAACGCGUGAGAAUCUGCCUUGGGGUCGGGGACAACCACUGGAAACGGUGGCUAAUACCGGAUAAGCCUUUGGGUAAAAGAUUUAUUGCCCCAAGAGGAGCUCGCGUCUGAUUAGCUAGUUGGUGAGGUAAAAGCUCACCAAGGCAGCGAUCAGUAGCUGGUCUGAGAGGACGAUCAGCCACACUGGGACUGAGACACGGCCCAGACUCCUACGGGAGGCAGCAGUGGGGAAUUUUCCGCAAUGGGCGAAAGCCUGACGGAGCAAGACCGCGUGAGGGAGGAAGGCUCUUGGGUUGUAAACCUCUUUUCUCAGGGAAGAAGCUCUGACGGUACCUGAGGAAUCAGCCUCGGCUAACUCCGUGCCAGCAGCCGCGGUAAUACGGAGGAGGCAAGCGUUAUCCGGAAUUAUUGGGCGUAAAGCGUCCGCAGGUGGCGAUUCAAGUCUGCUGUCAAAGCACGGGGCUUAACUCCGUUAAGGCAGUGGAAACUGAAUAGCUAGAGUGCCGUAGGGGUAGAGGGAAUUCCCGGUGUAGCGGUGAAAUGCGUAGAGAUCGGGAAGAACAUCGGUGGCGAAAGCGCUCUACUGGACGGCAACUGACACUCAGGGACGAAAGCUAGGGGAGCGAAUGGGAUUAGAUACCCCAGUAGUCCUAGCUGUAAACGAUGGAUACUAGGUGUAGCUUGUAUCGACCCGAGCUGUGCCGAAGCUAACGCGUUAAGUAUCCCGCCUGGGGAGUACGCACGCAAGUGUGAAACUCAAAGGAAUUGACGGGGGCCCGCACAAGCGGUGGAGUAUGUGG